UUACAAUGAUGUUUUGAAUUUCUUCACCUGAUUCUCAAUGAAGAUUAAACACGAGCUUUUUAACCCUGAGUAAC
Lepisosteus oculatus (spotted gar) is the source of this 74-nucleotide small nucleolar RNA. Lineage: Eukaryota; Metazoa; Chordata; Actinopteri; Semionotiformes; Lepisosteidae. The record is from Ensembl.